UUGGAGGGCAAGUCUGGUGCCAGCAGCCGCGGUAAUUCCAGCUCCAAUAGCGUAUAUUAAAGUUGUUGCAGUUAAAAAGCUCGUAGUUGAAUUUCGAGACUGGUUUAUUGGUCGUGCUUUUGUACGUACUGGUAUUAUUGGUUUCUCCUUUCUGACGAAUCAUAAUGCCAUUAAUUUGGUGUUUUGGGGAAUCAGGACUGUUACUUUGAAAAAAUUAGAGUGUUUAAAGCAGGCUCACGCUUGAAUACAUUAGCAUGGAAUAACGGAAUAGGACGUUUGAUUCUAUUUUGUUGGUUUCUGGGAUCGACGUAAUGAUUAAUAGGGAUAGUUGGGGGCAUUAGUAUUCAAUUGUCAGAGGUGAAAUUCUUGGAUUUAUUGAAGACUAACUACUGCGAAAGCAUUUGCCAAGGAUGUUUUCAUUAAUCAAGAACGAAAGUUAGGGGAUCGAAGACGAUCAGAUACCGUCGUAGUCUUAACCAUAAACUAUGCCGACUAGGGAUCGGAUGAUGUUAAUUUUAAUGACUCAUUCGGCGCCUUACGGGAAAC
This 546-nucleotide ribosomal RNA is filed under the name uncultured Glomus. RNAcentral describes it as "SSU rRNA". It matches the Rfam family "Eukaryotic small subunit ribosomal RNA", at positions 548 to 1098 of the family's 1831-position model. Lineage: Eukaryota; Fungi; Glomeromycota; Glomeromycetes; Glomerales; Glomeraceae. The record is from RNAcentral.